GCUGAGUAGAUGGGGGAAGAGCACUGGAUGUCACGCACCCUGACUUCAGCUAGGCAUUCGACACUGUCUUCCAAAACAUCUUUGUUAUGAAACUUAGAAAGUGUGAGAUAGAUGAGUGGACAGUAAGCUGUUUCAGGGCAGUGCUUACACCAAGUCCAGGCCUUUUCUGCUUCUCCUGCUGCCUUGCUGGCCAGCAGAUGGGAGUAUAGAAGGAGUUGGAAGGAAAUCAGCAAGAGAAGUGGAACAACUGACCCAAAGUGGCAUCAUGCUCAGCAUUAGAAGCUGAGGUCAAAAUAGGCAGUCUGUUGAAAUGCCAAGAACUCAAGAGGACAGUGAAAGGCAAAUGGCAUCCCAAACUUACCCGUUAGCCAAUGACCUGUGCAGAUCCUUCUGAGUCAACUGAAGUUGAAGCUCUCUUCAUUGAUAAAAAGGUCUUAAGCAAGGAAAGAAUGAAGUCUGAUGAUAUUUUCUUUUCCUCUGAAAAUCCUGCCAAGGUGAACUCAGACAGUGCAGAACUCAGCAUCCUCUUUAAACAAGUUGGUCAGAAAUUCCUCCAGCACCUCUCACAUCUUCUUUCAUCACCUGCCCCAGCCUCCAUAUGGAUUAUGCUUCAUGGCUUUCAUCUUCGCUCCAAGGAGUGCUGGGAUGGUAGAUGAGAAGGAAAGGUAACAGGAGGCAACGUCAAUAAACAGUAAAAGACAA
Long non-coding RNA from Gallus gallus (chicken), 702 nucleotides. RefSeq lists it as uncharacterized. The record is from RefSeq and is a predicted model, not a curated record. The transcript has 3 exons. NCBI's taxonomy places the organism in Eukaryota, Metazoa, Chordata, Aves, Galliformes, Phasianidae.